This is a small nuclear RNA of Chelmon rostratus (copperband butterflyfish), 102 nucleotides long. The record is from RefSeq and is a predicted model, not a curated record. Lineage: Eukaryota; Metazoa; Chordata; Actinopteri; Chaetodontiformes; Chaetodontidae.
GGAUGAAGGUUCCCACCUAUAUAGCACAAUAAUAAGAUAAUAAGAUUAGCAUGGCCCCUGCGCAAGGAUGACACGCAAAUUUGUGAAGCGUUCCUCUUUUUU